This 240-nucleotide unclassified non-coding RNA is filed under the name soil metagenome. RNAcentral describes it as "partial contains 5.8S ribosomal RNA, internal transcribed spacer 2, and large subunit ribosomal RNA". The record is from RNAcentral.
AACAUCGCGCACCUGCGGGAACCUGCGGAAGGAUCAUUACCGAGUCUUCGUACUCAAAACAACCCUUCUGUGGACCUGAAUAAAACCGUUGCCUCGGCAGGCGGCCCUACCUACGGGCCAGAUAGUUCGGCUGCCUCCAGGGAGGAAACCCUCCCUGAGGUGCUGGCGCCAGCCGCUGGCCCCAAACCAAAACUCUAGUAACUUUUACCUUCUGAGUUUUAAUGCAAGAAAUAAGACAAA